This 254-nucleotide ribosomal RNA is filed under the name uncultured bacterium. RNAcentral's name for it is "partial 16S ribosomal RNA". It matches the Rfam family "Bacterial small subunit ribosomal RNA", at positions 524 to 776 of the family's 1533-position model. The record is from RNAcentral.
UACGGGGGGGGCAAGCGUUGUUCGGAAUUACUGGGCGUAAAGGGCGCGUAGGCGGCCACCGCAAGUCGACUGUGAAAUCUCCGGGCUUAACCCGGAAAGGUCAGCCGAUACUGCGGGGCUAGAGUGCAGAAGGGGCAACUGGAAUUCUCGGUGUAGCGGUGAAAUGCGUAGAUAUCGAGAGGAACACCUGCGGCGAAGGCGGGUUGCUGGGCUGACACUGACGCUGAGGCGCGAAAGCGAGGGGAGCGAACGGG